UCCCUGGUGGCUCAGAUGGUAAAGCAUCUGCCUGCAAUGUGGAAGAUCCAGGUAUGAUCCCUGGGUAGGGAA
RNAcentral lists this transfer RNA (72 nucleotides) under Ovis aries (sheep). It matches the Rfam family "tRNA". Rfam says of the family: Transfer RNA (tRNA) molecules are approximately 80 nucleotides in length. Lineage: Eukaryota; Metazoa; Chordata; Mammalia; Artiodactyla; Bovidae. The record is from Rfam by way of RNAcentral.